This 1366-nucleotide ribosomal RNA is filed under the name uncultured prokaryote. RNAcentral describes it as "partial 16S ribosomal RNA". It matches the Rfam family "Bacterial small subunit ribosomal RNA". The record is from RNAcentral.
CAUGCAGUCGAACGAGAACCCGCCUUCGGGCGGGGGACAGUGGCGAAAGGGCGAGUAAUGCACUCCUACGUACCCCAAGGCGGGGGAUAGGUCGUGGAAACGCGGCGUAAUACCCCAUGUGAUCUCCGGAUCAAAGGCUUCGGCCGCCUUGGGAGCAGGGAGCGUCCUAUCAGGUAGUUGGUGAGGUAAAGGCUCACCAAGCCAACGACGGGUAGCGGGUGUGAGAGCAUGGCCCGCCACAUCGGGACUGAGACACUGCCCGGACUCCUACGGGAGGCUGCAGCGACGAAUAUUCCGCAAUGCGCGAAAGCGUGACGGAGCAAUGCCGCGUGCAGGAUGAAGCGGCUUCGCCGUGUAAACUGCUGUCAGGGUGCAGGAAUAUUGACCAUACCCAGAGGAAGGACCGGCUAACCUCGUGCCAGCAGCCGCGGUAAUACGAGGGGUCCAAGCGUUAAUCGGAAUCACUGGGCUUAAAGGGUACGUAGGCGGCCUUGUAAGCAUCUCGUGAAAUCCCACGGCUCAACCGUGGAAUUGCGGGGUGAACUGCAAGGCUUGAGGCAGGUAGAGGUCGUCGGAACGAUCGGUGGAGCGGUGAAAUGCGUUGAUAUCGAUCGGAACGCCGAAGGAGAAGUCAGGCGACUGGGCCUGUCCUGACGCUGAGGUACGAAAGCGUGGGUAGCGAACGGGAUUAGAUACCCCGGUAGUCCACGCCCUAAACGAUGUGCACUAGAUCGUGGGAGCUCUGACUCUUUCUCGGCCGAAGCGAAAGCGUUAAGUGCACCGCCUGGGGAGUACGGUCGCAAGGCUAAAACUCAAAGGAAUUGACGGGGGCUCACACAAGCGGUGGAGCAUGUGGCUUAAUUCGAAGCAACGCGAAGAACCUUAUCCUGGGUUGAACUGCAUGGAUUAGCUUCUAGAAACAGGAGUGACGCCCUUGCGUGGAACGUGCACAGGUGCUGCAUGGCUGUCGUCAGCUCGUGCUGUGAAGUGUCGGGUUAAGUCCCUUAACGAGCGCAACCCUUAUCGCUAGUUGCCAUCAGGUAAUGCUGGGGACUCUAGCGAGACUGCCGGUGUCAAACCGGAGGAAGGUGGGGAUGACGUCAAGUCCUCAUGGCCCUUAUGUCCAGGGAUGCAAACGUGCUACAAUGGCGUGGACAAAGCGACGCAAUCCCGCGAGGGGGAGCAAAUCGCAAAAACCACGCCCCAGUUCGGAUUGCAGGCUGCAACUCGCCUGCAUGAAGUUGGAAUCGCUAGUAAUCGGAGAUCAGCUACGCUCCGGUGAAUACGUUCCUGAGCCUUGUACACACCGCCCGUCAAGUCAUGGAAGCUGGGAGUGCCCGAAGUCGCCGCGUUUCAGGGGUGCCCA